This 1439-nucleotide ribosomal RNA is filed under the name uncultured organism. RNAcentral's name for it is "16S ribosomal RNA". It matches the Rfam family "Bacterial small subunit ribosomal RNA". The record is from RNAcentral.
CAGGCUUAACACAUGCAAGUCGAGGGGCAGCAUGGUCUUAGCUUGCUAAGGCCGAUGGCGACCGGCGCACGGGUGAGUAACACGUAUCCAACCUGCCGUCUACUCUUGGACAGCCUUCUGAAAGGAAGAUUAAUACAAGAUGGCAUCAUGAGUCCGCAUGUUCACAUGAUUAAAGGUAUUCCGGUAGACGAUGGGGAUGCGUUCCAUUAGAUAGUAGGCGGGGUAACGGCCCACCUAGUCUUCGAUGGAUAGGGGUUCUGAGAGGAAGGUCCCCCACAUUGGAACUGAGACACGGUCCAAACUCCUACGGGAGGCAGCAGUGAGGAAUAUUGGUCAAUGGGCGAGAGCCUGAACCAGCCAAGUAGCGUGAAGGAUGACUGCCCUAUGGGUUGUAAACUUCUUUUAUAAAGGAAUAAAGUCGGGUAUGGAUACCCGUUUGCAUGUACUUUAUGAAUAAGGAUCGGCUAACUCCGUGCCAGCAGCCGCGGUAAUACGGAGGAUCCGAGCGUUAUCCGGAUUUAUUGGGUUUAAAGGGAGCGUAGAUGGAUGUUUAAGUCAGUUGUGAAAGUUUGCGGCUCAACCGUAAAAUUGCAGUUGAUACUGGAUAUCUUGAGUGCAGUUGAGGCAGGCGGAAUUCGUGGUGUAGCGGUGAAAUGCUUAGAUAUCACGAAGAACUCCGAUUGCGAAGGCAGCCUGCUAAGCUGCAACUGACAUUGAGGCUCGAAAGUGUGGGUAUCAAACAGGAUUAGAUACCCUGGUAGUCCACACGGUAAACGAUGAAUACUCGCUGUUUGCGAUAUACUGCAAGCGGCCAAGCGAAAGCGUUAAGUAUUCCACCUGGGGAGUACGCCGGCAACGGUGAAACUCAAAGGAAUUGACGGGGGCCCGCACAAGCGGAGGAACAUGUGGUUUAAUUCGAUGAUACGCGAGGAACCUUACCCGGGCUUAAAUUGCAGAUGAAUUACGGUGAAAGCCGUAAGCCGCAAGGCAUUUGUGAAGGUGCUGCAUGGUUGUCGUCAGCUCGUGCCGUGAGGUGUCGGCUUAAGUGCCAUAACGAGCGCAACCCUUAUCUUCAGUUACUAACAGGUCAUGCUGAGGACUCUGGAGAGACUGCCGUCGUAAGAUGUGAGGAAGGUGGGGAUGACGUCAAAUCAGCACGGCCCUUACGUCCGGGGCUACACACGUGUUACAAUGGGGGGUACAGAAGGACGCUACCUGGUGACAGGAUGCCAAUCCCAAAAACCUCUCUCAGUUCGGAUCGAAGUCUGCAACCCGACUUCGUGAAGCUGGAUUCGCUAGUAAUCGCGCAUCAGCCAUGGCGCGGUGAAUACGUUCCCGGGCCUUGUACACACCGCCCGUCAAGCCAUGAAAGCCGGGGGUACCUGAAGUACGUAACCGCAAGGAGCGUCCUAGGGUAAAACUGGUAAUUGGGGCUAAGU